AGCCGUGUCGUCAACACUGUUUCAAUCAAGUUUUUAUUUGGGAAUUUUAAAAGGAAAGGUAUUAAAUUCUAUUUCUUUAACUUUGGUUUUUGUAUUGUUUGACCCAAAUGGCCAAAUGUCGAUAUGGAAUAUGUUAACGAACGGUUGGAUAUUUAUUUUUAAUUAUCUGGUCCAGAGGACACACGAAUCUAUGCUUCCUCUUUUGUUGUCUUCUGU
Arabidopsis thaliana (thale cress) is the source of this 216-nucleotide long non-coding RNA. RefSeq annotates it as other RNA. The record is from RefSeq. The transcript has a single exon. Lineage: Eukaryota; Viridiplantae; Streptophyta; Magnoliopsida; Brassicales; Brassicaceae.